UGUGGGCCUAAUGGGCCUACGGGCCCAAUUGGAUAAGUUGUUUGAUUGUGUAGUAAAUAUUGGACUAGGCUAGGUGAAUCUCAUAUUUGUGGCUAGAUUUGGGCUAAAAGGGCCACACGAGUGUGUGGGCCCAUUUGGGCCGAGAAUAGGCUUUAGGCCCAUUCGUAUUGUUAUCCCUGUUUAGAAUACUUUAGUUUACCAAAUUACUGAAAUGCCC
Molecule: long non-coding RNA, 217 nt
Filed under: Gossypium barbadense (sea-island cotton)
Lineage: Eukaryota; Viridiplantae; Streptophyta; Magnoliopsida; Malvales; Malvaceae
Description: long non-coding RNA (GBAR_LNC011333)
Source: RNAcentral